GCAAUCGUCGCUUAGCUUGGUAGAACGGAAAAGCGUGCCGAAAGCGCUGGAUUGCUAAUCCAGUGUCCGAACGGAUUCGUGGGUUCGAAUCCCACCGAUUGCG
RNAcentral lists this transfer RNA (103 nucleotides) under Promethearchaeota archaeon. RNAcentral's name for it is "Candidatus Lokiarchaeota archaeon tRNA-Ser". It matches the Rfam family "tRNA". From Rfam's summary of the family: Transfer RNA (tRNA) molecules are approximately 80 nucleotides in length. Their secondary structure includes four short double-helical elements and three loops (D, anti-codon, and T loops). The record is from RNAcentral. Lineage: Archaea; Promethearchaeati; Promethearchaeota.